Small nuclear RNA from Sarcophilus harrisii (Tasmanian devil), 174 nucleotides. Its record names the gene U1. It matches the Rfam family "U1 spliceosomal RNA". From Rfam's summary of the family: U1 is a small nuclear RNA (snRNA) component of the spliceosome (involved in pre-mRNA splicing). Its 5' end forms complementary base pairs with the 5' splice junction, thus defining the 5' donor site of an intron. The record is from Ensembl. Lineage: Eukaryota; Metazoa; Chordata; Mammalia; Dasyuromorphia; Dasyuridae.
AUACUUACCUGGUAAGGAUACUUCCAUGAUCACGAAACCAUGAUCCAUAGUUUUCUUAGGGCAAGGCUUAUCCAUUGCAUUCAGGAUGGGCUGACCCCUGUGAUUUCCCCAAAUGUGGGGAAACUCCACUUCAUCAUUUGUGAUAGUGGGGAACUGUCUUAGUGCUCUCCCCUG